UCCCUAGUGGCUCAGAUGGUAAAGCGUCUGCCUACAAUGCGGGAGACCCUGGUUUGAUCCCUGGGUCGGGAA
RNAcentral lists this transfer RNA (72 nucleotides) under Bos taurus (domestic cattle). It matches the Rfam family "tRNA". From Rfam's summary of the family: Transfer RNA (tRNA) molecules are approximately 80 nucleotides in length. Their secondary structure includes four short double-helical elements and three loops (D, anti-codon, and T loops). The record is from Rfam by way of RNAcentral. Lineage: Eukaryota; Metazoa; Chordata; Mammalia; Artiodactyla; Bovidae. RNAcentral also lists the same sequence under 1 other name.